This 29-nucleotide non-coding RNA is filed under the name Rattus norvegicus (Norway rat). The record is from RNAcentral. Lineage: Eukaryota; Metazoa; Chordata; Mammalia; Rodentia; Muridae.
UGAGCAAGACACUCUCAGGCAUUCACACA